Molecule: ribosomal RNA, 138 nt
Filed under: uncultured bacterium
Lineage: Bacteria
Description: partial 16S ribosomal RNA
Rfam family: Bacterial small subunit ribosomal RNA
Source: RNAcentral
UGGGGAAUAUUGCACAAUGGGGGAAACCCUGAUGCAGCAAUGCCGCGUGAGUGAAGAAGUAUUUCGGUAUGUAAAGCUCUAUCAGCAGGGAAGAAAAAAGACGGUACCUGACUAAGAAGCCCCGGCUAACUACGUGCC